Molecule: small RNA, 119 nt
Organism: Mangrovibacter sp. MFB070
Lineage: Bacteria; Pseudomonadati; Pseudomonadota; Gammaproteobacteria; Enterobacterales; Enterobacteriaceae
Source: Rfam
AGUUAAAGAUGUAGGGUACAGAGGUAAGAUGUUCUAUCUUUCAGACCUUUUACUUCACGUAAUCGGAUUUGGCUGAAUAUUUUAGCCGCCCCAGUCAUUAGUGACUGGGGCGUUUUUUA